UACUUCCACGAUUUAAAAAGUAUUUUAUUU
This 30-nucleotide non-coding RNA is filed under the name Mus musculus (house mouse). The record is from RNAcentral. Lineage: Eukaryota; Metazoa; Chordata; Mammalia; Rodentia; Muridae.